RNAcentral lists this long non-coding RNA (449 nucleotides) under Malus domestica (apple). Its description in RNAcentral is "long non-coding RNA (MDOM_LNC000464)". Lineage: Eukaryota; Viridiplantae; Streptophyta; Magnoliopsida; Rosales; Rosaceae. The record is from RNAcentral.
ACAUCUACCUGAAGAACAGAUAAGGCAAGCGAAAAUGAUACCAGCAGCAUGUGGAGACAAUGUGCAGAAGAAACAAGCAGAGAAGAAUGCAGCUUGCACAAUCAUCCCAGCAGAAGGAGUCUGAGAUGAAGAACUAGAGAAGCUGCCACAUCUGCUUGAAGAACUCAAGAAGCUUCAACAACAUCGCCAAAGAGCAAAGCCUCGCCGUACAAUAUCAUCAAAUCAUCACUUGCAAGUAAAAAGCUAAGUGUCACCCCGUUCAAGAGGAAAGCUGUGGAAAGUCAACAAGCAUGACCAAUGAUCACUUAUUAGUUCUAUUCAUUGUCUUUUAUCGUGAUUUUCAAUUUUUUUUUACAUUUUCUUGCGUUACUUAACUGAAUUAUUUCUUUUCUUUGCAGGAAUUUUUUGUUAUUUCCACCCUUGAAGUUGAUUGCAGAAUUUUAGCUUGG